UACGUAGGGAGCAAGCGUUGUCCGGAAUCAUUGGGCGUAAAGCGCGCGUAGGUGGCUUCGUAAGUCCGUUGUGAAAGUCAAAGGCUCAACCUUUGAAAGCCGAUGGAUACUGUGAAGCUAGAGUACGGAAGAGGCGAGUGGAAUUCCUGGUGUAGCGGUGGAAUGCGCAGAUAUCAGGAGGAACACCAAUAGCGAAGGCAGCUCGCUGGGACGUUACUGACACUGAGGCGCGAAAGUGUGGGGAGCGAACAGG
RNAcentral lists this ribosomal RNA (253 nucleotides) under uncultured bacterium. Its description in RNAcentral is "partial 16S ribosomal RNA". It matches the Rfam family "Bacterial small subunit ribosomal RNA", at positions 524 to 776 of the family's 1533-position model. The record is from RNAcentral.